Molecule: ribosomal RNA, 521 nt
Filed under: Pseudomonas sp.
Lineage: Bacteria; Pseudomonadati; Pseudomonadota; Gammaproteobacteria; Pseudomonadales; Pseudomonadaceae
Description: bacterial SSU rRNA
Rfam family: Bacterial small subunit ribosomal RNA
Source: RNAcentral
CAGUCGAGCGGCAGCACGGGUACUUGUACCUGGUGGCGAGCGGCGGACGGGUGAGUAAUGCCUAGGAAUCUGCCUGGUAGUGGGGGAUAACGCUCGGAAACGGACGCUAAUACCGCAUACGUCCUACGGGAGAAAGCAGGGGACCUUCGGGCCUUGCGCUAUCAGAUGAGCCUAGGUCGGAUUAGCUAGUUGGUGAGGUAAUGGCUCACCAAGGCGACGAUCCGUAACUGGUCUGAGAGGAUGAUCAGUCACACUGGAACUGAGACACGGUCCAGACUCCUACGGGAGGCAGCAGUGGGGAAUAUUGGACAAUGGGCGAAAGCCUGAUCCAGCCAUGCCGCGUGUGUGAAGAAGGUCUUCGGAUUGUAAAGCACUUUAAGUUGGGAGGAAGGGCAGUUACCUAAUACGUAUCUGUUUUGACGUUACCGACAGAAUAAGCACCGGCUAACUCUGUGCCAGCAGCCGCGGUAAUACAGAGGGUGCAAGCGUUAAUCGGAAUUACUGGGCGUAAAGCGCGCGUA